This 215-nucleotide long non-coding RNA is filed under the name Panax ginseng (ginseng). Its description in RNAcentral is "long non-coding RNA (PGIN_LNC002091)". Lineage: Eukaryota; Viridiplantae; Streptophyta; Magnoliopsida; Apiales; Araliaceae. The record is from RNAcentral.
GUGUAUAUGGAGAGUACAAGUUGUUGUGUUCUAUGAUCUUCUCCCCUCAAACCCUAGCUUGUAGCCAUAUAUAUAGAAGCCACCUCCACCCGUAUCCUACUAGGAGAAGGACUCCUUAUCCCUCCAAAUAAGGAAACACAAUCCUAUUUUAAUAAGGACUCUUCCAUUGUCAUAAUAAAUACAUAUGGGCCAUCAUCAGAUCCGGACCAUUAAAU